Molecule: long non-coding RNA, 498 nt
Filed under: Vigna radiata
Lineage: Eukaryota; Viridiplantae; Streptophyta; Magnoliopsida; Fabales; Fabaceae
Description: long non-coding RNA (VRAD_LNC002832)
Source: RNAcentral
GGAAUAUACAUUAUAUUAAUAUAUUUAUAUAUUGAUAUAUUGCACCAAACAUUAUAAGAGUUUGUUUAUAAAAUAUACUAAUAAGAAUAAUUAAAUAAUAUAUGUUAAAUGAGUAUGUAUAUAUAUAUAUAUAUAGUUUAAAUUUUUCAUUGGUUUUUAUUUUUGUAUGGUAAUCUCAAUUAAGUUUUUAUUUUUGUAACGGUCUGAAUUUGAUCAUAUUUUUUUGUAAAAAUGAGUCAAUUUUAUCCUGUCUGUUAAAUGCUCUCAGAUGAGUUAAUUGAUGCUGAUGUGUUAAUGUCGAUGUUCAUUGUGAGAUGGCAAAAUUAAAGCUCUCAAACUUCCAAAGCCCUUUACACGAACACUAAUCCUUUCUCUUUCCUCUUCCCAACAGAUUCCAACACUGCCAUUGACACGCUCUUCCACCUUGAAGGCAAGUCCCAUGUCGUCUUCUCCUCCAACCCUAACCCCCGCAACCUCUCUCACAUCCUCUCCUCCCUC